GGAAUUUUGGACAAUGGGCGCAAGCCUGAUCCAGCCAUUCCGCGUGCAGGAUGAAGGCCUUCGGGUUGUAAACUGCUUUUGUACGGAACGAAAAGGUGCCUCCUAAUACGGGGUGCUCAUGACGGUACCGUAAGAAUAAGCACCGGCUAACUACGUGCCAGCAGCCGCGGUAAUACGUAGGGUGCAAGCGUUAAUCGGAAUUACUGGGCGUAAAGCGUGCGCAGGCGGUGAUGUAAGACAGGUGUGAAAUCCCCGGGCUUAACCUGGGAACUGCACUUGUGACUGCAUUGCUGGAGUGCGGCAGAGGGGGAUGGAAUUCCGCGUGUAGCGGUGAAAUGCGUAGAUAUGCGGAGGAACACCGAUGGCGAAGGCAAUCCCCUGGGCCUGCACUGACGCUCAUGCACGAAAGCGUGGGGAGCAAACAGGAUUAGAUACCCUGGUAGUCCACGCCCUAAACGAUGUCAACUGGUUGUUGGGUCUUCACUGACUCAGUAACGAAGCUAACGCGUGAAGUUGACCGCCUGGGGAGUACGGCCGCAAGGUUGAAACUCAAAUGAAUUGACGG
Molecule: ribosomal RNA, 565 nt
Filed under: uncultured bacterium
Lineage: Bacteria
Description: bacterial SSU rRNA
Rfam family: Bacterial small subunit ribosomal RNA
Source: RNAcentral